Molecule: transfer RNA, 75 nt
Filed under: Armatimonadota bacterium
Lineage: Bacteria; Bacillati; Armatimonadota
Description: Armatimonadetes bacterium (activated sludge metagenome) tRNA-Thr
Rfam family: tRNA
About the family: Transfer RNA (tRNA) molecules are approximately 80 nucleotides in length.
Source: RNAcentral
GCCUCCUUAGCUCAGUGGUAGAGCGCCCGCCUUGUAAGCGGAUGGUCAUCAGUUCGAAUCUGUUAGGAGGCUCCA